CGCAGCCUACGGGGGGCAGCAGUGGGGAAUAUUGCACAAUGGGCGAAAGCCCGAUGCAGCAACGCCGCGUGAAGGAAGAAGGGUUUCGGCUCGUAAACUUCUAUCAACAGGGACGAAAGAAAUGACGGUACCUGAAUAAGAAGCCCCGGCUAACUACGUGCCAGCAGCCGCGGUAAUACGUAGGGGGCAAGCGUUGUCCGGAUUUACUGGGUGUAAAGGGCGUGUAGCCGGGCUGACAAGUCAGAUGUGAAAUUCCGGGGCUCAACCCCGGACCUGCAUUUGAAACUGUUGGUCUUGAGUAUCGG
RNAcentral lists this ribosomal RNA (305 nucleotides) under uncultured bacterium. Its description in RNAcentral is "bacterial SSU rRNA". It matches the Rfam family "Bacterial small subunit ribosomal RNA", at positions 332 to 652 of the family's 1533-position model. The record is from RNAcentral.